UACAGAGGGUGCUAGCGUUGUUCGGAAUUACUGGGCGUAAAGCGUGCGCAGGCGGUUUUGUAAGCCAGAUGUGAAAUCCCCGGGCUUAACCUGGGAAUGGCAUUUGGGACUGCAAGGCUGGAGUGCGGCAGAGGAGACUGGAAUUCCUGGUGUAGCAGUGAAAUGCGUAGAUAUCAGGAGGAACACCGAUGGCGAAGGCAGGUCUCUGGGCUGACACUGACGCUCAUGCACGAAAGCGUGGGGAGCAAACAGG
This 253-nucleotide ribosomal RNA is filed under the name uncultured bacterium. RNAcentral describes it as "partial 16S ribosomal RNA". It matches the Rfam family "Bacterial small subunit ribosomal RNA", at positions 524 to 776 of the family's 1533-position model. The record is from RNAcentral.